Cajanus cajan (pigeon pea) is the source of this 641-nucleotide long non-coding RNA. RefSeq lists it as uncharacterized. Lineage: Eukaryota; Viridiplantae; Streptophyta; Magnoliopsida; Fabales; Fabaceae. The record is from RefSeq and is a predicted model, not a curated record.
CAGACAAUUAAGAAUUUGAGUUUGCAAAUUUUUAGACCAUUCCAAGGAUUUGAGACUACAACCUCCAGGAAACAACACCACAAUAAUCUACUGCAAUCCUUUGUUUAAAUAUGGGAGGAACUGAAGAAGAUAAACAUGAGGGCGAAGCUGAGGAGCAUAAGAAGGAAAAGAAGCAUAAAGAGGAAGGUGAUGGAAAAGAAGAAUCUAAAGAGAAGAAGAAAGGGAAAGAGAAGAAGGAGAAGAAUCCUGAAGAUAAAAAUGAUCCUACGAAACUGAAGCAAAAGCUUGAAAAAUUAGAGACCAAGAUUCAGGCGCUAGUAACUAAGAGAGAAGAAUUACUGAAGCUGUUUCAAGAAGUAGUAGCGAAUUCAAGUGCGCCACCAGUGGCCUCUUAGAUCAACUGUGUAUAUGUUUUUAUAUAUAUAUAUUGUAUGAAUAAGUGUAUAAUCUAUAACACACACUUUCUCUCUCCAUAUAUGUAUUUGCUAUAGGAUAAAAAUAAAAAUGCAUGGACACUCCCAUGCUAGAAGAGAGAACAAAGAAAAAUGUAGAUAUUGUGGAGACGGUCUGUAUUUAAUUUUGCCUGUGUUAGAUUCAUGGCUUGUGUAAUUUAUUGAAAUAAAGUAUUAAUUAUUAUAGUA